This 3046-nucleotide long non-coding RNA is filed under the name Homo sapiens (human). Its description in RNAcentral is "non-protein coding CCEPR:7". Lineage: Eukaryota; Metazoa; Chordata; Mammalia; Primates; Hominidae. The record is from RNAcentral.
ACUGCCAAGGCAACCUCGCGCGUGAGGCGUCGGGCGACCGAGCGCGCGGGAAGGGCGAGCGCUAUACGCCGCGCGGCUGCCUCGCCCUCUCUCCUGGUGAUAGCCAUUUGGCGUCUUCUGUCUGCUCUCGGUGCCUGGCGAAGCCCGAGUUGGCCCUGAGGCGUCUGCACGGGGAGGCGAGGGCGAGCAUGUUUGUUGUUUACCAAGAAUUGGAAAAAUAAGGGCCCGGACUCUUCGGACUCUCUGUACGGUAUUGGGGUGUGGGAGCCACCUCCUCCCCUGAAGGUCCCAGGAUACUCGCUGCCCGCACCCUGCGGGCUCGGCCGGACAUUCCUCGGAAACAGCUGCGUCUGUGUGAGAAAUGAGCGGAUUACCUGAGGCGUGGAGGGGUUUAGAGACAGCAUUUUGCCAGUCCACGACACUGAAGCGGGGCAAACGUGGGAACUCCUUACUGCCAGAAAGGUGAGGGAAUGAGGAGAUGCAGCAAGCCUGCUGAAAAGGCGGCAGACAUGCUGCGGGGCCAGCAGCCACGGGACCAGCAGCCACGCAGUCUGCCUUCGCAGCGUAGCUUCAUUCAUUCAUGCGCGUAGCAAAUAAGUAUUCAAUGCUCACCCUAUGCCAUUGUUCUGGGCGUCAAUGAAGGGAGUAUAAACAGCACCUGCUCCCAUGGAUUUGGAAGGAAUCUUUGCUACAAUAGCUAAUGAAGAUUGACUUGUGCUUCCUCAAGCUACUCUAUAACUUGUAUGCCCAUUGAUUUUAAUUGCAUUUAAGAUUCUGCAGUGCACUUAGUGGAUGUGCAAACGUUUUAAACAUAAAAUAGAGGUCACAGCCUAUUGACCUCUGUUCCCGUUUGCUUCUUUGGAAAAGUUUUUAGUUUUGUUGCUAUCUUGGGAUCAAAAAUAGUGUCCCCUCUUUUCUUAAUGUGCUUAUAAAUUAAUAUAAGUUCCCUUUUAUUGAUUUUCCAUUUCAAACAUAAAUGUUAACCAACAAGUAACAGUUUACACAUAGAUGUCUGUAUGCUGCUCUUUCUAGUCACAUCCAUUUAGCUAUAACAUGAUGAAGUCUAAUUAAUUGAAGCUUCAAUAAAUGGAAGGACCAGCUUAAAGUAAAAUAAGCCUGUGAAAAAUCUUGGCACAAUUGAAAUUUCAUAAAUAUCUGUGAAAGAUAAUUAGGCAUCUUAAAGUGAAAAGUCUUCAUUAUGAACUUAUUAAUGAAGAUGGAUGUUUUUGAAGUUUGAAAGAAUUCUUGUCUUAAGGUAGGGGUGUCCCCAAGGAGAGGGUAAAUUAUUACCUGUCAAAGGAUAUGACAAGAAAGUACUUACUGGUGAAUUUUCUGUGUUCGAAAGCCUGGCUCUGUAGAACUAGAAAUUGGUAUUGUAAGCCCAACAGUGGGUUCAUUUUUUAGAGUAGUCUCAAAUUUAUAAAUCUCAAAAAAAAGGAACUGUGUAAACUAGAAUAACAAUUUACUGAUUUUCAAGUAAGAAAUACGACAUGCAUUUAAUUCAAACUCAUGCAAAUAUUUAUGAAGCACCUAUGUCCAGGACACUGUGCUAUGUGUUGAAAAUUUGGAGUUCAAAUUUAUCAAGAAAGAUAUAUAUUGAAAAAGUAAAAGUAGGAUGGGUGUUAAGAAAGAGGAAGUAUGGGAGCUUGUAGAAGCACGCACGAGGUUUAUAACCUAGGUUAGAUGGUCAGGAAGAUCUCCAAAAUGAUUUUAUCUUAAGGGAAUGAGAAAUUAUUAAAAAGGCUUUAAAUAGGAAAUUAGCAUGAUCAGAUUUGUCGGCUAGAAUAUUUGUGUAAUCGGAAAGGGUAAUGUUUCAAGAAGUGUAUUAAUGUCACUUUCUGGGUAUACAACUUAAUCAAUCCAAGGCACCUUUCUGCUGAGGAUUUGGAUUCUUGUAUAAAAAAUACAAAAGAAAUAUUUACUUUUUAACUUUCGAUAUUAAAUAUAGGAUUUUUUAAAUCGAGUUUUUAGGCUUCAAAUCGAGGCAUUGUCAAGACAUAAAAUGUAAAUUUGUUUAUGGUUCAACAUAUCAAGGCUAGGCCUGGUGGACCAAAUGAUAGGGUUUCUCCCAUAGUAAAGACAAGGUAUCUUAGUCCAGUAUGAAGGAUUUAGUCAGAGAUUGAUAUAAGGAAGGUGGUGGCUAUGAAGUAGGUAAAGUAGAAGAAAAUCCUAUUCUCUUUGGCUUGGAGAAUUACGGGAAAGGGGUAGAAGAGCUCAAGAAAGACACCAGAAACAUUUUUACUGUUCCCACCCUGAAGAUGUAGGGUGAGGGGUUGUGGCUUUAGAAAUAUCCAGAUUGGUGUGGGAAAACUCAAGGACAGAGAAAUUACUUUCCCAAUUCUCAGAUAUCUGGGAAGAUAUCAGGCUGAGCAGGAACCACAUUCCAGUAACCUUGAACAGGGCGGAGACAGGGUAGGCAUUGACUUUCCAGAGUGCUGUAAGUUUCUAUGUACUGUUGAGACUCAGAAAACAAUACUCCCCUCCUCCCCAAAAAAAAAAAAAAAAAAAAAAAAAAAAAAAAAAAAAAACCUCAGAAGUAAAAGUUUUUCCUCUCAUCUUCUGACCUUCAGCCUCUCAGUCUCAUUUUCCCCUGAGGCUAGCUAUAAGAAACUAGAAUCCCUGUUCCCCAACGUGGGUUAUAGAAACCACAAUUCCUUUUCCCCAAAGCCAGCCAUAAAAUCUGAAAAUAUUACUCUAAUUUUUCUUCUGCUUUUCUGUGUAAAAACUGGCCAUAAAGAAAUUAUCUUACCUACCUUGUUUAACUGAAGGUCAUAAGAUCCUCAUUCCAGAGAGGGCCCUGCCACAUAGCCAAAAGGAAGAAGUGCAUGCUCAGACAGGUCAAGAAGAAUCUAGACAGACAGGCCUUUCUGGGUUUCCCUACUCAAUCUAUUAGUAUUAGGUCAUAUCCCUUUUGUCCAGUCAUAUUUCUUCAUGACUGUUCAUACCUUGUUGAACCUAAGGAUUAAAAUGGUCAAUUUUCCCUGUGUCUUUGGUCUUCAUUCUGAAGGCUUAUGUUGGAAAUGUGGUGUUCAAAUUUCAUGUAAAG